This is a small nucleolar RNA of Tachyglossus aculeatus (Australian echidna), 138 nucleotides long. NCBI's taxonomy places the organism in Eukaryota, Metazoa, Chordata, Mammalia, Monotremata, Tachyglossidae. The record is from RefSeq and is a predicted model, not a curated record.
UUCCUCUCAGGAUCUCACCUGGAAAGUUUCCAGGGCUCUACCAGUCUCGGCUACAGGUGGGAGAGUCAAGCAGAGGCAUACCCACUCCAUUUCUAGCUUGGGAAGUAGCUAAUGAGUGGAAGGCAAUCUGCUACAAGU